GAUUAAUCCCCCAUAGCCUUUUUUAAUGGCAUCAUUUUAAGAGUAAAGGUUACGGUAUAAGAUGAGUAUGCGUUCUAUUAGUUUGUUGGUGAGGUAAUGGCUCCCCAAGACUGCGAUAGAUAGGGGCCCUGAGAGGGGGAUCCCCCACACUGGUACUGAGACACG
Molecule: ribosomal RNA, 165 nt
Filed under: uncultured bacterium
Lineage: Bacteria
Description: partial 16S ribosomal RNA
Rfam family: Bacterial small subunit ribosomal RNA
Source: RNAcentral